CUUUCCGAGGAGCGUUGCAAGGCCGCCUGUCGCCACGACAGCCGCCCCAGGCUCGGAAAUCCAAUUGCAACCGCGCUCACCCGCA
RNAcentral lists this non-coding RNA (85 nucleotides) under Rhizobacter sp. Root29. RNAcentral's name for it is "SAH (S-adenosyl-L-homocysteine) riboswitch aptamer". It matches the Rfam family "SAH (S-adenosyl-L-homocysteine) riboswitch aptamer". Lineage: Bacteria; Pseudomonadati; Pseudomonadota; Betaproteobacteria; Burkholderiales; Sphaerotilaceae. The record is from Rfam by way of RNAcentral. RNAcentral also lists the same sequence under 1 other name.